This is a regulatory RNA element of Methylobrevis pamukkalensis, 87 nucleotides long. It matches the Rfam family "chrB-a RNA". The record is from Rfam. NCBI's taxonomy places the organism in Bacteria, Pseudomonadati, Pseudomonadota, Alphaproteobacteria, Hyphomicrobiales, Pleomorphomonadaceae.
GCCAAGGGGCAGAUCGCGAUCACCCCGUGAGGCGUCAGCCGAACGAUCGCGUCCACGAACCUCGCACAGGGGGAACGGGCGCGCAUG